UUGCAAGUGAUGUAACAAUUUCAGUAUGCACAAAACAGAUACUGUAAACACUUUCUGAUAUA
This 62-nucleotide small nucleolar RNA is filed under the name Ornithorhynchus anatinus (platypus). RNAcentral describes it as "Small nucleolar RNA Z39 (ENSOANG00000027498.2)". It matches the Rfam family "Small nucleolar RNA Z39". From Rfam's summary of the family: Z39 is a member of the C/D class of snoRNA which contain the C (UGAUGA) and D (CUGA) box motifs. Most of the members of the box C/D family function in directing site-specific 2'-O-methylation of substrate RNAs. The record is from Rfam by way of RNAcentral. Lineage: Eukaryota; Metazoa; Chordata; Mammalia; Monotremata; Ornithorhynchidae.